This 68-nucleotide transfer RNA is filed under the name Betaproteobacteria bacterium HGW-Betaproteobacteria-4. Its description in RNAcentral is "tRNA-Met". It matches the Rfam family "tRNA". From Rfam's summary of the family: Transfer RNA (tRNA) molecules are approximately 80 nucleotides in length. Their secondary structure includes four short double-helical elements and three loops (D, anti-codon, and T loops). The record is from RNAcentral. Lineage: Bacteria; Pseudomonadati; Pseudomonadota; Betaproteobacteria.
GGGCCUGUAGCUCAGUUGGUUAGAGCAGAGGACUCAUAAUCCUUUGGUCCCAAUUAGCAGUUCUGCAA